AGUGAACGCUGGCGGUAGGCCUAACACAUGCCAGUCGAACGGCAGCACAGUAAGAGCUUGCUCUUACGGGUGGCGAGUGGCGGACGGGUGAGGAAUACAUCGGAAUCUACUUUUUCGUGGGGGAUAACGUAGGGAAACUUACGCUAAUACCGCAUACGACCUACGGGUGAAAGCAGGGGAUCUUCGGACCUUGCGCGAUUGAAUGAGCCGAUGUCGGAUUAGCUAGUUGGCGGGGUAAAGGCCCACCAAGGCGACGAUCCGUAGCUGGUCUGAGAGGAUGAGCACCCACACUGGAACUGAGACACGGUCCAGACUCCUACGGGAGGCAGCAGUGGGGAAUAUUGGACAAUAGGGGCAAGCGUGAUCCAGCCAUACCGCGUGGGUGAAGAAAGCCUUCGGGUUGUAAAGCCCUUUUGUGGGGAAAGAAAAGCAGCAGGUUAAUACCCCGCGGUUCUGACGGUACCCAAAGAAUAAGCACCGGCUAACUUCGUG
RNAcentral lists this ribosomal RNA (492 nucleotides) under uncultured bacterium. RNAcentral's name for it is "partial 16S ribosomal RNA". It matches the Rfam family "Bacterial small subunit ribosomal RNA", at positions 29 to 507 of the family's 1533-position model. The record is from RNAcentral.